GGACAACAGUUGGAAACGACUGCUAAUACCGAAUGAGCUGAAAAGUAAAAGAUUAAUUGCCUAAAGAUGAGCUCGCGUCCGAUUAGCUAGUUGGUGGGGUAAAAGCUUACCAAGGCGACGAUCGGUAGCUGGUCUGAGAGGAUGAUCAGCCACACUGGGACUGAGACACGGCCCAGACUCCUACGGGAGGCAGCAGUGGGGAAUUUUCCGCAAUGGGCGAAAGCCUGACGGAGCAACGCCGCGUGAGGGAGGAAGGCUUUUGGGUUGUAAACCUCUUUUCUCAAGGAAGAUAAUGACGGUACUUGAGGAAUCAGCAUCGGCUAACUCCGUGCCAGCAGCCGCGGUAAUACGGAGGAUGCAAGCGUUAUCCGGAAUAAUUGGGCGUAAAGCGUUCGUAGGUGGUUGUGCAAGUCUGCUGUUAAAGCGUGUAGCUUAACUACAUAUAGGCAGUGGAAACUGCACAACUAGAGUGCGUUCGGGGCAGAGGGAAUUCCUGGUGUAGCGGUGAAAUGCGUAGAGAUCAGGAAGAACACCGGUGGCGAAAGCGCUCUGCUAGGCCGCAACUGACACUGAGGGACGAAAGCUAGGGGAGCGAAUGGGAUUAGAUACCCCAGUAGUCCUAGCUGUAAACGAUGGAUACUAGGCGUUGCUUGUAUCGACCCGAGCAGUGCCGUAGCUAACGCGUUAAGUAUCCCGCCUGGGGAGUACGCACGCAAGUGUGAAACUCAAAGGAAUUGACGGGGGCCCGCACAAGCGGUGGAGUAUGUGGUCUAAUUCGAUGCAACGCGAAGAACCUUACCAAGGCUUGACAUGUCCGGAACCUUUGUGAAAGCAGAGGGUGCCUUCGGGAGCCAGAACACAGGUGGUGCAUGGCUGUCGUCAGCUCGUGUCGUGAGAUGUUGGGUUAAGUCCCGCAACGAGCGCAACCCUCGUCCUUAGUUGCCAGCAUUAAGUUGGAGACUCUAGGGAGACCGCCGGGGAAAACUCGGAGGAAGGUGAGGAUGACGUCAAGUCAGCAUGCCCCUUAUGUCUUGGGCUACACACGUACUACAAUGGCUGGGACAAAGGGAAGCGAAAUUGCGAAAUGGAGCGAAUCUCAUCAAACCCAGCCUCAGUUCAGAUUGCAGGCUGAAACUCGCCUUGCAUGAAGGAGGAAUCGCUAGUAAUCGCAGGUCAGCAUACUGCGGUGAAUCCGUUCCCGGGUCUUGUACACACCGCCCGUCACACCAUGGAAGUUGGUCACGCCCGGAAGUCGUUAUUCCACCCAUUUAUGGAGAAAGAUGCCGAAGGUGGGACUAGUGACUGGGGUGAAGUCGUAACAAGGUAGCCGUACCGGAAGGUGUGGCUGGAUCACCUCCUUAUAAGGGAGACUACGAAAAGUAGUCAAACAAGGAUUGGUUGAUGUAGAUGGUUAGAAAAAGAAGAAGAGGGGCAUGUGGGGGCUAUUAGCUCAGGUGGUUAGAGCGCACCCCUGAUAAGGGUGAGGUCCCUGGUUCAAGUCCAGGAUGGCCCAUAUCGAAGAGAGUAAAAUUGAUUCGAGACCAUAUGGGGGUAUAGCUCAGUUGGUAGAGCGCCUGCUUUGCAAGCAGGAUGUCAGCGGUUCAAGUCCGCUUACCUCCAGAAAAGAACAAUUCAGCAUUGUUAAGUAAGGCUUGAGAAAUAGAUUAAUUAAGUCAAAAUAACAAAUGCUGGACACUAAGUUCAGUAAAAUGAACCUUGAAAACUGCAUAGAUAUAAAUAUAGGGAAGACAUCAGAUAAUUAUCUUUAGACAGAUAAGAGUCAAAAUCAAACUU
This 1794-nucleotide ribosomal RNA is filed under the name Rivularia sp. 5PA13. RNAcentral describes it as "bacterial SSU rRNA". The stretch from base 1 to 1361 matches the Rfam family "Bacterial small subunit ribosomal RNA". Lineage: Bacteria; Bacillati; Cyanobacteriota; Cyanophyceae; Nostocales; Rivulariaceae. The record is from RNAcentral.